RNAcentral lists this ribosomal RNA (253 nucleotides) under uncultured bacterium. Its description in RNAcentral is "partial 16S ribosomal RNA". It matches the Rfam family "Bacterial small subunit ribosomal RNA", at positions 524 to 776 of the family's 1533-position model. The record is from RNAcentral.
UACGUAGGGGGCUAGCGUUGUCCGGAUUUAUUGGGCGUAAAGAGCGUGUAGGCGGCCACGCAGGUCCGUUGUGAAAACUGGAGGCUCAACCUUCAGACGUCGACGGAAACCGUAUGGCUAGAGUCCGGAAGAGGAGAGUGGAAUUCCUGGUGUAGCGGUGAAAUGCGCAGAUAUCAGGAAGAACACCAAUGGCGAAGGCAGCUCUCUGGGACGGUACUGACGCUGAGACGCGAAAGCGUGGGGAGCGAACAGG